CCUGAUGUAAAGAAAGGUCAAGGAUUCCAGCUGGCGCUGUGAGAGCAAGCCCCCUGUACAAACAGGUUGGCAGCUUUUGAUCUGUUUGUUGCUGUGAGCAGAAUUUGGGUUUCCUGGCUACCAUAAGUGAUAACGUUGCUAUUACGUGGAUCAGAUGACGGGUAAAUGAACGAGCAAACAAAUUAAUGUAUAGAUACCCAAACGAAUGGGGAAAUGAAUGGAUGGUUAAAUGGAUUAAUAAGUGAAUGGAAAAUAAAGAGUGUGGCGUUGGUCUUGGUGGUUUCUUACGAGGAAGUGGGGUCUGGAGUGGAGAAUCGCUGGAGGACAAAGAGGAGUCCUGGGGUGUUGUCCGUGUCUUGGUGUUUUUCAAAGGCUUUCUUGAUAAUUCUAUAACAACAUUUCAUGUCAAUGUUGUAAAGAAAGCCAAUGAUGAAAUGAUUGAUUGAUUUGUGUAUCCAAUUACUACGAGUGUUACUAACUGCUUUAUAGACACUGCAAAGAUUUUAAACUUGAAUUGCUGCUUGCCAAAACCUUACAGCAAAACAUAUGGUGUGUGCAGUUGUAUAAACUAGUUGUUUUACUUUAUAUGCUCCUUUACUUCCUAGUCUGGUUGAAUCAAAUAAUCCAAUGGAAACAUCUUUUUGGUAAGGAAUUACAAAAGCAACCUAUGAAAUAAACAUAUCAAGGAAAAGACAAGUUCUUUACUAUUGCUCACCAUGUUGAGGUAGCUGUUUUGCUGGGACAUAUGUCUGUGGGACAGUCUGAGUGUAGACGGUUUCAGUUUGUGUUGCUGUUGGAUGAGAGUUUACCAUUUCCUGCAUCUUUG
Long non-coding RNA from Exaiptasia diaphana, 826 nucleotides. RefSeq lists it as uncharacterized. The transcript is spliced from 4 exons. The record is from RefSeq and is a predicted model, not a curated record. NCBI's taxonomy places the organism in Eukaryota, Metazoa, Cnidaria, Anthozoa, Actiniaria, Aiptasiidae.